AAGGCUUGACAUAACCGAGAACGCCGCAGAAAUGUGGAACUCUUUGGACACUCGGUUACAGGUGGUGCAUGGUUGUCGUCAGCUCGUGUCGUGAGAUGUUGGGUUAAGUCCCGCAACGAGCGCAACCCUCGUCGUAUGUUGCCAGCACGUAAUGGUGGGAACUCAUAUGAGACUGCUGGGGUCAACUCGGAGGAAGGUGGGGAUGACGUCAAAUCAUCAUGCCCCUUAUGUCUUGGGCUUCACGCAUGCUACAAUGGCCGGUACAAAGGGCUGCGAUGUCGUAAGGCGGAGCGAAUCCCAAAAAGCCGGUCUCAGUUCGGAUUGAGGUCUGCAACUCGACCUCAUGAAGUCGGAGUCGCUAGUAAUCGCAGAUCAGCAACGCUGCGGUGAAUACGUUCCC
This 400-nucleotide ribosomal RNA is filed under the name uncultured Agromyces sp. RNAcentral's name for it is "bacterial SSU rRNA". It matches the Rfam family "Bacterial small subunit ribosomal RNA", at positions 976 to 1375 of the family's 1533-position model. Lineage: Bacteria; Bacillati; Actinomycetota; Actinomycetes; Micrococcales; Microbacteriaceae. The record is from RNAcentral.